UACGUAGGGGCCUAGCGUUGUCCGGAUUUAUUGGGCGUAAAGAGCUCGUAGGCGGUUCGGCAAGUCGGAUGUGAAAUCUCCACGCUUAACGUGGAGGGGCCAUUCGAAACUGCCGUGACUCGAGUCCGGUAGGGGAGUGUGGAAUUCCUGGUGUAGCGGUGAAAUGCGCAGAUAUCAGGAGGAACACCAGUAGCGAAGGCGGCACUCUGGGCCGGCAUUGACGCUGAGGAGCGAAAGCCAGGGGAGCAAACGGG
RNAcentral lists this ribosomal RNA (254 nucleotides) under uncultured bacterium. RNAcentral describes it as "partial 16S ribosomal RNA". It matches the Rfam family "Bacterial small subunit ribosomal RNA", at positions 524 to 776 of the family's 1533-position model. The record is from RNAcentral.